Molecule: long non-coding RNA, 959 nt
Organism: Gavialis gangeticus (Gharial)
Lineage: Eukaryota; Metazoa; Chordata; Crocodylia; Gavialidae
Exons: 3
Source: RefSeq, a predicted model, not a curated record
GAUACUGGUGUUACUUCAUGAGGCUGGAUUUUGUGGUGGCACACUCAAUUUAAAGUUCAAGUCCUGGAUUUCAUGAUGGCAUGCGGGAGAGGUGUAAACUUUCAGGAUGGGAUGCUACAUUAAAACAUCAGCAUGCAUCAGUGCAAUUUGAGGGUCGCAUUUUCCAGGGUCCUUGAAAAAGCAACUGUAAAAUUGGUAAAUGGAACAAAAGCAAUUAGCUUGCUUCAUUGCUCAGGUCCCUGCAGAAUCCACUCUGGCAAGUAUUGGAAGCAUUUCCAGUUACUCACUUUCAGUACAAAAGCUGUUAAAAGCAGAUCAUAAUGUAAAAAUUUUUUUGUUUUUUUUUUGUUUUUGCUUUGCCUGUGCUUAAUAUAAAACCCAUGUGUCUUUGCCGGGACAGUACACUCUGUGCUGUGCUCUGGGAACUGUAGUGCGCCAGCAGCUGAGCUCUGUAUAGAAAAGAAUUGGAAGACCUACAGUUCCCAACAUGCCUGGCAGUAGCUCUGCCUGUAAAGAGUUCUGCUUGUCUCAAAGCUUAAAAGGGCAAUUACAGAGUAGGAAAAGAGCUAAGACAGUUAUAGAGUAAAUAAAAGCCAUUGUAAACGAUGGCUGACUAGGAGACAAAACUGACUGAUAUUUAAACAGAAAGGGUGUUGCGCCUUUUCCGUAAGAGGAGAGUGUUCUCGAAGAUAUUUUUAAGCUAAUUUAAAGUACUUGUCAUACACGUCUUAAUGCCUCCAAUGAAAGCUAGAAGAGAAACGGGUACAGACAUGGCUGUUCGCUGUAAACCUACCCUCUGGCAUUCUUUGCGCUAUGUAUUGUGUACAGAUUUCAACUUGUGCAUGGCUUUCUGGGCAGCUGCAAUCAGACCUUGCUGCUGGGUAAUUCAUACCAGAUGGAGAACUCGGGCAGCUGCCUCCCAUUUAAAUUUGCAUGGAAGUUCUAGAAUUGCCAGAGCC